GAGAGAUAUUGUGUCUUCCUCGUAUAACCCUCCUCUGAAACGCCUCCGCCACCAACCACCGCCGGAGAAAACGUCAGCAUCUCCGGUGACUCUCAAAUUUACACCCUGAAACCGCCUCAAUGCCUUCAUCAUGAAUAUCCCACUAUCAUCUCUCGAAUCCCACUGGAGGGCGUCGAAUAAUUGAAAGAAUUGCCGCCGUCUCCGCCGUCCACGGUGGCGACACCUCGCAAACUGGCCCAAAUUCACACCACCCAGGCUCCCCGGUCUCCUCAUCAUUAAUCCAUCAACAACUGGCCUCAAGUCGUGACUGAAAUCCUCGAAAGUGCAAAAUUAAAAACAGUCAAGAACCCUAAGUCGUUCUAGUGGUUUCAAAAGAACAUGACAAGGUCGCCUUGCCUCCCUCAUAUGGAAUCCAAUGUCAAUCGCGUUCAAAUGUCAUCGGAAUUACUCAGGCGAUUAAAUUGAUAGGCGUCAGAAAUUUGAGUCAUAAAAGUGAGUUUCGCUUAAUUUUAAUCUUUGUUUGUUUCAUCGUUCCUACGUGCUUCUGAAUUAGGUUCGUGUCGAUGCUCCAUGGUUAAUUGAUAGUAUAAAUGUUAAUUUCGUCAUUAGUUUUAUUCAAAUGUUUAGGGCCUAGUUUUGAUUGUUCAUUUUAUUCGAAUUAAUUUAGUUCUUGCUUUUGAUAUUUUUUUGCCGUUACUUUCUGAUUUUGUGAAGUUCUGAUUGUUAGUAUGAUUAAUUGUGGUUUGGUAUUGGGUAAGUUGUUGAUCUGCUCUACAUUUAAUUUAGGCUAGGUUAAUUAGACGAUUGCUUUAAUACCUUAAUUUAGUGAACUUUAGGUUAAGAUCUGUUUAGGUUGUAAUUGGCUUUUGAUUAACGGAUUGGAUUAGUUACAUAGUAGUAAUUUCAAAUAAGUUCAGGGGCAGUUUUGGGUAAUUGAAUUCGGACCUGAAAGUGGUAGGUUAGAGUAGAAGGCCCUAGAAUCUUCUAGAAUAGGGCUCAAGUGUAGACUUCAGUAAUUGUAGUGCACUUACUUGAGAAACAAGUCAGAAAAUAGAGGGUUUAAACAAAAAUAAGCAAGGGACUAUGCUGUAAAUUGAAAAUCUAACUUGCACCUCAUCCUUGCCUAUAAAAGGGCAUUCCCAUGCCUUAAUCAACAAGUUUGGAGCCCCCAAAAUUUCCCCAAAAGAUCUCCAAGCUAAACAGAUCUGGAAAUUGAAAAAUUCUGAUCCAAAUCCUUUUAGAUCUUAGCUCCCUUCAUACAGAGAAAUCAAAAACAGUAGAAACUUUCAAAAAUCCAAAAAAAUAAACACAAAAUCAAAAAAAAAAUCCAAAAAUAUAUUGUUACAUUAGUUUUAUUCAAUCAGUUUCAGAUUUCAAGUGUCUAGCUCAUAUUAUGAUCAAAAUUACUUGAGCUCUUCUCUGGUUUCUGUGCAAUAGUGAUAAUUAAGAGCAGCUUCCAAUCAUGUAUUAGUGUUUAAUGGUUAUGAAUGAAGGACUAAGUUCAUUUUGGGUUGUUUGACGUUGUUGUGGUCUGAUUUGUUGAGUGUGUGGCUUUCCUGGUUGUUCCUGGGUAGUUUUGGUGUUGAUUUUGGUUCUAUUUGGUUUUUUGACAACUUUCUGGGCUGUUGGUUAUGCAGUACUGCUGAAUUGACUGUGUCAUUGUUGCUGCUGAUCUUCAUCUUCUAUUGCCAUUUCUACUUCCAUUGAUUCCCAAGUUGGAGGUGUUUUGUUUGUAUGAGCCAUCCUUGAAAAUACAUGAAUGAAGAAUUGGCUAUUGUUCAUUUGAACUCAUAUGAUUGACUGUUGAUAUACGAUCCAUAUGUUCAAGUUGUAGUCAAUUAUAUGAAUUGUCUUAAUGCAUUAGUUAUUUCAUUUGGGUUGUAAUGAAUUAGUAGACUGAAAUAAUUUGUUGUUUAGUAUUGUAAAGGCUGUCCCGACCGCUUUCAUGUCAACUAGUUGUUGUAGGCGAUAGAAUAAUUGCAUGCUGCUCAACAGAAUUAAGCAAUUAAUAGGUGUACUGUUAGUUUUGGGUUUGACUCCUAGCAUGAUUUAGUUAAUGAAUCCACAACAUCUUAGUAUAACAUUAAUUCAAAUAAACAAAUACUCAUUGUUACCUAAAUAGCAUGUUCGAACAGUAAUUUUCACUGAAUGAUCGCCAUUAAUUGCCCCUGCAUUAUCACUACAUCAAUUUGAAACUAUUGAACUUGAAAUUUAAUUGCCAGCCCAGGGAUUCGAACCCAGGGACCGCGUGGGAGUUGACUUCUCUGUUGGUGCGGAUGAGUGUUUCCAUUUGGGCCUAUUUUAGGAUCAUGACAGGCUCAAUUAGUUUCCUCAACCAAUCUUCAUCGGGCUGUUGUUUCCCUUCAUAGUGGGCUGAAAUUUUAUUGACUUGGACUCAAUUUGACAGCUCUCAUGUAUGAUCUAAACAACAAUAAAUUCGGGUUUGAGUUAGGUAGCGGGUUAAAGCUAAAAAGUAUUACUAUUUGCUUGAAUUCGGACUUGAACUCGAAGCCCGAUUUUUUAGUAUUAAUUAAUAAAGAUCCUUUCUUUUCUUUUA
This 2557-nucleotide long non-coding RNA is filed under the name Nicotiana benthamiana. Its description in RNAcentral is "long non-coding RNA (NBEN_LNC008271)". Lineage: Eukaryota; Viridiplantae; Streptophyta; Magnoliopsida; Solanales; Solanaceae. The record is from RNAcentral.